CGGAGGGUGAGUAGUGUCUGGGAAACUGCCCGAUGGAGGGGGAUAACUACUGGAAACGGUAGCUAAUACCGCAUAACGUCGCAAGACCAAAGAGGGGACCUUCGGGCCUCUUGCCAUCGGAUGUGCCCAGAUGGGAUUAGCUAGUAGGUGGGGUAACGGCUCACCUAGGCGACGAUCCCUAGCUGGUCUGAGAGGAUGACCAGCCACACUGGAACUGAGACACGGUCCAG
Molecule: ribosomal RNA, 230 nt
Filed under: uncultured bacterium
Lineage: Bacteria
Description: partial 16S ribosomal RNA
Rfam family: Bacterial small subunit ribosomal RNA
Source: RNAcentral